UACGAGGGGUGCAAGCGUUGUUCGGAAUCACUGGGCGUAAAGGGAGCGCAGGCGGAAGCUCAAGCGGAUUGUACAAUACCGGGGCCCAACCCCGGACCUGCAGUCCGAACUGGGUUUCUUGGAUAGUUCAGGGGCAAGCGGAAUUCCUGGUGUAGCGGUGGAAUGCGUAGAGAUCAGGAAGAACACCGAUGGCGAAGGCAGCUUGCUGGGGACUUAUCGACGCUCAUGCUCGAAAGUGCGGGUAGCAAAC
RNAcentral lists this ribosomal RNA (250 nucleotides) under uncultured prokaryote. Its description in RNAcentral is "partial 16S ribosomal RNA". It matches the Rfam family "Bacterial small subunit ribosomal RNA", at positions 524 to 773 of the family's 1533-position model. The record is from RNAcentral.